RNAcentral lists this ribosomal RNA (427 nucleotides) under uncultured Dyella sp. RNAcentral's name for it is "bacterial SSU rRNA". It matches the Rfam family "Bacterial small subunit ribosomal RNA", at positions 355 to 774 of the family's 1533-position model. The record is from RNAcentral. Lineage: Bacteria; Pseudomonadati; Pseudomonadota; Gammaproteobacteria; Lysobacterales; Rhodanobacteraceae.
UGGGGAAUAUUGGACAAUGGGCGCAAGCCUGAUCCAGCAAUGCCGCGUGUGUGAAGAAGGCCUUCGGGUUGUAAAGCACUUUUAUCAGGAGCGAAAUACCACGGGUUAAUACCCUAUGGGGCUGACGGUACCUGAGGAAUAAGCACCGGCUAACUUCGUGCCAGCAGCCGCGGUAAUACGAAGGGUGCAAGCGUUAAUCGGAAUUACUGGGCGUAAAGGGUGCGUAGGCGGUUCGUUAAGUCUGUUGUGAAAUCCCCGGGCUCAACCUGGGAAUGGCAAUGGAUACUGGCGAGCUAGAGUGUGAUAGAGGAUGGUGGAAUUCCCGGUGUAGCGGUGAAAUGCGUAGAGAUCGGGAGGAACAUCAGUGGCGAAGGCGGCCAUCUGGAUCAACACUGACGCUGAAGCACGAAAGCGUGGGGAGCAAACA